This 63-nucleotide transfer RNA is filed under the name Porites lutea. Its description in RNAcentral is "tRNA-Phe". RNAcentral also lists the same sequence under 1 other name. The record is from RNAcentral. Lineage: Eukaryota; Metazoa; Cnidaria; Anthozoa; Scleractinia; Poritidae.
AAUUUGUUAGACUAUUUAAUUCUUUUUAUUUAACGCUCUAUUAAAAUUUUAGGGUAAAGGCCU